RNAcentral lists this ribosomal RNA (905 nucleotides) under Salmonella enterica. RNAcentral describes it as "bacterial SSU rRNA". It matches the Rfam family "Bacterial small subunit ribosomal RNA", at positions 269 to 1167 of the family's 1533-position model. The record is from RNAcentral. Lineage: Bacteria; Pseudomonadati; Pseudomonadota; Gammaproteobacteria; Enterobacterales; Enterobacteriaceae.
CAAGGCGACGAUCCCUAGCUGGUCUGAGAGGAUGACCAGCCACACUGGAACUGAGACACGGUCCAGACUCCUACGGGAGGCAGCAGUGGGGAAUAUUGCACAAUGGGCGCAAGCCUGAUGCAGCCAUGCCGCGUGUAUGAAGAAGGCCUUCGGGUUGUAAAGUACUUUCAGCGGGGAGGAAGGUGUUGUGGUUAAUAACCGCAGCAAUUGACGUUACCCGCAGAAGAAGCACCGGCUAACUCCGUGCCAGCAGCCGCGGUAAUACGGAGGGUGCAAGCGUUAAUCGGAAUUACUGGGCGUAAAGCGCACGCAGGCGGUCUGUCAAGUCGGAUGUGAAAUCCCCGGGCUCAACCUGGGAACUGCAUUCGAAACUGGCAGGCUUGAGUCUUGUAGAGGGGGGUAGAAUUCCAGGUGUAGCGGUGAAAUGCGUAGAGAUCUGGAGGAAUACCGGUGGCGAAGGCGGCCCCCUGGACAAAGACUGACGCUCAGGUGCGAAAGCGUGGGGAGCAAACAGGAUUAGAUACCCUGGUAGUCCACGCCGUAAACGAUGUCUACUUGGAGGUUGUGCCCUUGAGGCGUGGCUUCCGGAGCUAACGCGUUAAGUAGACCGCCUGGGGAGUACGGCCGCAAGGUUAAAACUCAAAUGAAUUGACGGGGGCCCGCACAAGCGGUGGAGCAUGUGGUUUAAUUCGAUGCAACGCGAAGAACCUUACCUGGUCUUGACAUCCACGGAAGUUUUCAGAGAUGAGAAUGUGCCUUCGGGAACCGUGAGACAGGUGCUGCAUGGCUGUCGUCAGCUCGUGUUGUGAAAUGUUGGGUUAAGUCCCGCAACGAGCGCAACCCUUAUCCUUUGUUGCCAGCGGUCCGGCCGGGAACUCAAAGGAGACUGCCAGUGAUAAACUGGA